This 332-nucleotide unclassified non-coding RNA is filed under the name soil metagenome. Its description in RNAcentral is "partial contains 5.8S ribosomal RNA, internal transcribed spacer 2, and large subunit ribosomal RNA". The stretch from base 1 to 120 matches the Rfam family "5.8S ribosomal RNA", at positions 35 to 154 of the family's 154-position model. The record is from RNAcentral.
GAUGAAGAACGCAGCGAAAUGCGAUAAGUAAUGUGAAUUGCAGAAUUCAGUGAAUCAUCGAAUCUUUGAACGCACAUUGCGCCCGCCAGUAUUCUGGCGGGCAUGCCUGUUCGAGCGUCAUUUCAACCCUCAAGCCCAGCUUGGUGUUGGGAUCUGUCCUUACCGACAGUCCCCAAAUUGAUUGGCGGUCACGUCGAGCUUCCAUAGCGUAGUAAUUUACACAUCGUUACUGGUAAUCGUCGCGGCCACGCCGUUAAACCCCAACUUCUGAAUGUUGACCUCGGAUCAGGUAGGAAUACCUGCUGAACUUAAGCAUAUCAAUAAGCGGAGGA